RNAcentral lists this ribosomal RNA (487 nucleotides) under uncultured bacterium. RNAcentral describes it as "bacterial SSU rRNA". It matches the Rfam family "Bacterial small subunit ribosomal RNA", at positions 21 to 518 of the family's 1533-position model. The record is from RNAcentral.
GGCUCAGGAUGAACGCUAGCGACAGGCUUAACACAUGCAAGUCGAGGGGCAGCAUAGAAGUAGCAAUACUUGGUGGCGACCGGCGCACGGGUGAGUAACGCGUAUGCAACCUACCUAUCAGAGGGGAAUAACCCGGCGAAAGUCGGACUAAUACCGCAUAAAACAGGUGCACCGCAUGGUGAUAUUUGUUAAAGAAAUUCGCUGAUAGAUGGGCAUGCGUUCCAUUAGGUAGUUGGUGAGGUAACGGCUCACCAAGCCGACGAUGGAUAGGGGAACUGAGAGGUUGGUCCCCCACACUGGUACUGAGACACGGACCAGACUCCUACGGGAGGCAGCAGUGGGGAAUAUUGGGCAAUGGAGGAAACUCUUACCCAGCCAAUGCCGCGUGAGUGAUGAAGGUCUUUGGAUUGUAAAGCUCUUUGAUUGGGGACGAAUAAAUGACGGUACCCAAAGAACAAGCCCCGGCUAACUAUGUGCCAGCAGCCGC